Molecule: long non-coding RNA, 340 nt
Filed under: Gallus gallus (chicken)
Lineage: Eukaryota; Metazoa; Chordata; Aves; Galliformes; Phasianidae
Source: RNAcentral
GGAGUUUGCAAAUGAGUACAUUAACAGGCUGUGCUGUUGUCUGUCCUGCCUUUAUCAUCACAUCACCUGAGGUGCAGUGGGGCUCAGCACCAAGUUAAGGAAAUCUACAGCAACACCUCAUAAGUGCUGCUCAGCUGCCUUAGGAGUCAGGCUUCCUUUGCCUCUGAUGUUCACCUUAAAUGUGGUGACACAGCUGUUCUUUUCCCAUCACCUGCCAAACCAGUUUGUUUGCAUCUCUGCAAUUUCCCAGGCACAGCUCAGGCUCUUGUCAGGCUCAUUCAAAACAGGAAACCAAUGGCCUCGGACUGUUUUAUGUUCUUCUGGAUUACACACAGGUCCU